Molecule: ribosomal RNA, 429 nt
Filed under: Pseudomonadota bacterium
Lineage: Bacteria; Pseudomonadati; Pseudomonadota
Description: Proteobacteria bacterium partial 16S ribosomal RNA
Rfam family: Bacterial small subunit ribosomal RNA
Source: RNAcentral
UGGGGAAUAUUGGACAAUGGGCGAAAGCCUGAUCCAGCCAUGCCGCGUGUGUGAAGAAGGUCUUCGGAUUGUAAAGCACUUUAAGUUGGGAGGAAGGGCAGUAAGCGAAUACCUUGCUGUUUUGACGUUACCGACAGUAUAAGCACCGGCUAACUCUGUGCCAGCAGCCGCGGUAAUACAGAGGGUGCAAGCGUUAAUCGGAAUUACUGGGCGUAAAGCGCGCGUAGGUGGUUCGUUAAGUUGAAUGUGAAAGCCCCGGGCUCAACCUGGGAACUGCAUCCAAAACUGGCGAGCUAGAGUAGGGCAGAGGGUGGUGGAAUUUCCUGUGUAGCGGUGAAAUGCGUAGAUAUAGGAAGGAACACCAGUGGUGAAGGCGACCACCUGGGCUCAUACUGACACUGAGGUGCGAAAGCGUGGGGAGCAAACAGG